GGUCGGGCCGUUGGCCCUAAUAACAUGCAAGUACGAACGGAGGAAGUAUUACGUCUUCGAAUUGUAAAGGUACUUCGGUUAAGUUGAAGUACUUGGAGUAUCUUAGUGGCGGACGGGUGGAGUAACGCGUGAGCAACCUGCCUUUCUAGAGGGGGAGUAACGUUUGGUAAACGAACGCUAAUACCGCAUGACAUUAUCUUAUCGCAUGGUAGGAUAAUCAAAGGAGCAAUCCGCUGAAGAUGGGCUCGCGUCCGAUUAGGGUAGUUGGUGGGGUAACGGCCCACCAAGCCGACGAUCGGUAGCCGGACUGAGAGGUUGGACGGCCACAUUGGGACUGAGACACGGCCCAGACUCCUACGGGAGGCAGCAGUAAGGGAUAUUGGUCAAUGGGGGAAACCCUGAACCAGCAACGCCGCGUGAGGGAAGACAGUUUUCGGAUUGUAAACCUCUGUCCUCUGUGAAGAUGAUGACGGUAGCAGAGGAGGAAGCUCCGGCUAACUACGUG
This 505-nucleotide ribosomal RNA is filed under the name uncultured Oscillospiraceae bacterium. RNAcentral's name for it is "bacterial SSU rRNA". It matches the Rfam family "Bacterial small subunit ribosomal RNA", at positions 36 to 507 of the family's 1533-position model. The record is from RNAcentral. Lineage: Bacteria; Bacillati; Bacillota; Clostridia; Eubacteriales; Oscillospiraceae.